CACUAUGCCUAGCCCUAAACAUAGAUAUCAAUUCACUUAUUUUAUCCGCCCGGGAACUACGAGCAAUAGCUUAAAACCCAAAGGACUUGGCGGUGCUUUAGAACCACCUAGAGGAGCCUGUUCUAGAACCGAUACUCCCCGUUUAACCUUACCUUUCCUUGCCUUAUCCGCCUAUAUACCACCGUCGUCAGCCUACUCUUUGAGGACCUCACAGUAUGCAAAAUUGGUUGUACCCCAAAACGCCAGGUCGAGGUGUAGCGAAUGGAAAGGGAUAGCAAUGGGCUACAUUCAAUAACCUAUAAUGAAAACGAACGCCAUUCUGAAAAAGAUGGCCGAAGGAGGAUUUAGCAGUAAGCAGAGAACAGAGCGCUCUCCUGAAGCUGGCACUGAAGCGCGUACACACCGCCCGUCACUCUCCCCAAGCUAGGCUACAUAUAUUACUAAUAAAUGAACAAUCGCGGAGGGGAGGCAAGUCGUAA
Molecule: ribosomal RNA, 479 nt
Filed under: Halichoeres hortulanus (checkerboard wrasse)
Lineage: Eukaryota; Metazoa; Chordata; Actinopteri; Labriformes; Labridae
Description: partial small subunit ribosomal RNA
Rfam family: Bacterial small subunit ribosomal RNA
Source: RNAcentral